Molecule: long non-coding RNA, 1108 nt
Organism: Mycetomoellerius zeteki
Lineage: Eukaryota; Metazoa; Arthropoda; Insecta; Hymenoptera; Formicidae
Exons: 2
Source: RefSeq, a predicted model, not a curated record
GCGAGGAAUCAAAUUGGCUACCUCGGUCCUUCUAGUGUUAAGAGUGAUAUUUCAUUUUUCAAAGUGAGAUUCGCUCUAAAAGUUUAGAGAGUAUCUCUUCAUUUAUUUGUUCGUCGUUUAAAACCGGUGAAAAGAUAUAACAAGAAACAAUUUUGUAAAAGUGUAACACGAUUGAUUAUGAUUGCAAAUAACUUCCCUCGACAGAUCCAGGCUCUUAAAACGGUCUUUCAGUUAGGAAGUGAAUUCGCGCAUGUGCCGCGAACAGCCCGAAAUCGCUGGUUUCAUUAUUGUUCUAUCAGCCUAAAAUUAAAAUCGGUGAAAGUAUCUGAGUAAUAUUGGCGCGGUUAUUCAAAUUUUACGUAAAGACUACGAGUUGUAACAAUAUCCAAAGAGAGUGCAACAAUAUCGUUUACCUUUAAAGGACUGGGGUUUAUUUUUAAAUUAAAAUCUUUCAGCUCUUCCUCGACCAAGAUUUGUUAUAAUUCAUUAUUUUAUGUAUUUCUUGGCUCAAAAUGUAACACUUUUUCAGCGUCACUAUAAUGACUUUCCCGUCCUGUAAAGGUUCAUGAUUGUCAUUCUUCUUUUAGCUGCAUCAGCUCAAUACAUCAACAUAUUUAUUUUUUACCUUCCAUUCGCGUUAUCUUUCGAUAUUCAGCGACAUCCUAAAUUGAUCUGUCUCGAAGACACAGAUGUAGGCUGACAUUUUAUCAUUAGUAUAUGCGCAAUGCAUACGGCGCAACAAUAGCUAUACGUUUAUUCAUGGUGCCUCAAUUUUCUAUAAAUAUGUUUACAUGCAACUCACAAUUAACACUUAAAUCGUUCGGUCAUACAAGGUAAACAGAUGCAGAAACAUUACUUAGAUACGCGAGAUCGCAUACGCGCGUGCAUCGUGCCUUAUAUCUAUAGAGAAAAUUUUCCUGUUUUCGCCUCGACAUUUCGCUAAAUACACUCGUCAGGAUCACUGAGACACGAAAUACUCAAUAGUGUAAUUGUGAAACGCACUUAAUUCGUCGGCUUAAUGCAAAAGAGAUAUAGCGUGGAUUAACGAAUUUUUCAGUUGAUAUUGCCAAGAGAAAGGAAAUCCAUUUUCCUAUUAUCAUAAAAAAAA